CAGUACCAGUACCAGUACACCUAGUAGUAGCCUACGAAUGAUUGGUAAAUCGAUAAACGAUGAGGAUGAUGACGAUGUAAAUAUUCUAGAUCGAGAAGACGAUCAACAACAACAACAACAACAAAAAUUGAUUGGUGACAAUGUGG
RNAcentral lists this non-coding RNA (146 nucleotides) under Fragilariopsis kerguelensis. Lineage: Eukaryota; Bacillariophyta; Bacillariophyceae; Bacillariales; Bacillariaceae. The record is from RNAcentral.